UACGUAGGGUGCAAGCGUUAAUCGGAAUUACUGGGCGUAAAGCGUGCGCAGGCGGUUUUGUAAGUCAGAUGUGAAAUCCCCGGGCUUAACCUGGGAACUGCGUUUGAAACUACAAGGCUAGAGUGUGGCAGAGGGGGGUGGAAUUCCACGUGUAGCAGUGAAAUGCGUAGAGAUGUGGAGGAACACCGAUGGCGAAGGCAGCCCCCUGGGUCAAAACUGACGCUCAUGCACGAAAGCGUGGGGAGCAAACAGG
This 253-nucleotide ribosomal RNA is filed under the name uncultured bacterium. RNAcentral describes it as "partial 16S ribosomal RNA". It matches the Rfam family "Bacterial small subunit ribosomal RNA", at positions 524 to 776 of the family's 1533-position model. The record is from RNAcentral.